RNAcentral lists this ribosomal RNA (207 nucleotides) under uncultured Pseudomonadota bacterium. RNAcentral describes it as "uncultured proteobacterium partial 16S ribosomal RNA". It matches the Rfam family "Bacterial small subunit ribosomal RNA", at positions 568 to 774 of the family's 1533-position model. The record is from RNAcentral. Lineage: Bacteria; Pseudomonadati; Pseudomonadota.
CAUGUAGGCUGUCGAGUAAGUCAGAGGUGAAAUCCCACGGCUCAACCGUGGAACUGCCUUUGAUACUGCUCAACUUGAAUCCGGGAGAGGGUGGCGGAAUUCCAGGUGUAGGAGUGAAAUCCGUAGAUAUCUGGAGGAACAUCAGUGGCGAAGGCGGCCACCUGGACCGGUAUUGACGCUGAGAUGCGAAAGCGUGGGUAGCAAACA